GGAGGUAAAAGUCGUAACAAGGUCUCCGUUGGUGAACCAGCGGAGGGAUCAUUACAGGACUCGCAAGACUCCUUCACCCUGUGAACCUCACUACAAGCACGUUGCUUCGGCGGGUGUCCCGGCGGGGGUUUUCCCUCGCCGGGGCGCACAGCCCGCCGGCAGCCUACUAUACUCUGUCUCUUUGCGUUGGCAUCUCGAGAAAAAACAAACAAGUUAAAACUUUCAACAACGGAUCUCUUGGUUCUG
Molecule: unclassified non-coding RNA, 246 nt
Filed under: plant metagenome
Description: partial contains small subunit ribosomal RNA, internal transcribed spacer 1, and 5.8S ribosomal RNA
Rfam family: Eukaryotic small subunit ribosomal RNA (bases 1-54)
Source: RNAcentral